AAACGACUCUCGGCAACGGAUAUCUCGGCUCUCGCAUCGAUGAAGAACGUAGCGAAAUGCGAUACUUGGUGUGAAUUGCAGAAUCCCGUGAACCAUCGAGUCUUUGAACGCAAGUUGCGCCCAAAGUCCUCGGGCUGAGGGCACGUCUGCCUGGGUGUCACGC
This 163-nucleotide ribosomal RNA is filed under the name Cathetus myrtifolius. RNAcentral's name for it is "Phyllanthus myrtifolius 5.8S ribosomal RNA". It matches the Rfam family "5.8S ribosomal RNA". Rfam says of the family: 5.8S ribosomal RNA (5.8S rRNA) is a component of the large subunit of the eukaryotic ribosome. Lineage: Eukaryota; Viridiplantae; Streptophyta; Magnoliopsida; Malpighiales; Phyllanthaceae. The record is from RNAcentral.